GACGAACGCUGGCGGCGUGCCUAAUACAUGCAAGUCGAGCGGACGGAUGGGAGCUUGCUCCCAGACCGUCAGCGGCGGACGGGUGAGUAACACGUGGGCAACCUGCCUGUAAGACUGGGAUAACUCCGGGAAACCGGGGCUAAUACCGGAUAACUCUUUCCCUCACCUGAGGGAAAGCUGAAAGAUGGCAUCUCGCUAUCACUUACAGAUGGGCCCGCGGCGCAUUAGCUAGUUGGUGAGGUAACGGCUCACCAAGGCGACGAUGCGUAGCCGACCUGAGAGGGUGAUCGGCCACACUGGGACUGAGACACGGCCCAGACUCCUACGGGAGGCAGCAGUAGGGAAUCUUCCGCAAUGGACGAAAGUCUGACGGAGCAACGCCGCGUGAGUGAUGAAGGUUUUCGGAUCGUAAAACUCUGUUGUCAGGGAAGAACAAGUACCGGAGUAACUGCCGGUACCUUGACGGUACCUGACCAGAAAGCCACGGCUAACUACGUG
Molecule: ribosomal RNA, 498 nt
Filed under: uncultured bacterium
Lineage: Bacteria
Description: partial 16S ribosomal RNA
Rfam family: Bacterial small subunit ribosomal RNA
Source: RNAcentral